This 821-nucleotide ribosomal RNA is filed under the name uncultured bacterium. Its description in RNAcentral is "bacterial SSU rRNA". It matches the Rfam family "Bacterial small subunit ribosomal RNA", at positions 336 to 1144 of the family's 1533-position model. The record is from RNAcentral.
CUCCUACGGGAGGCAGCAGUCGAGAAUUUUUCUCAAUGGGGGAAACCCUGAAGGAGCGACGCCGCGUGGAGGAUGAAGGCUUUCGGGUUGUAAACUCCUGUCAUUUGGGAACAAGCCGCUUACGUUAACUGCGUGAGCGUUGAUAGUACCAGAAGAGGAAGAGACGGCUAACUCUGUGCCAGCAGCCGCGGUAAUACAGAGGUCUCAAGCGUUGUUCGGAUUCAUUGGGCGUAAAGGGUGCGUAGGUGGCGCGAUAAGUCGGGUGUGAAAUCUCGGAGCUUAACUCCGAAAUUGCAUUCGAUACUGCCGUGCUUGAGGACUGGAGAGGAGACUGGAAUUCAUGGUGUAGCAGUGAAAUGCGUAGAGAUCAUGAGGAAGACCAGUGGCGAAGGCGGGUCUCUGGACAGUUCCUGACACUGAGGCACGAAGGCCAGGGGAGCAAACGGGAUUAGAUACCCCGGUAGUCCUGGCAGUAAACGGUGCACGUUUGGUGUGGGAGGAUUCGACCCCUUCCGCGCCGGAGCUAACGCGUUAAACGUGCCGCCUGGGGAGUACGGUCGCAAGAUUAAAACUCAAAGAAAUUGACGGGGGCCCGCACAAGCGGUGGAGUAUGUGGCUUAAUUCGAUGCAACGCGAAGAACCUUACCAGGCCUUGACAUGCAUUUCUAAGCGGGUGAAAGCCCGUGAGUCCUGAAAGGGACAACUUGCACAGGUGCUGCAUGGCUGUCGUCAGCUCGUGUCGUGAGAUGUUGGGUUAAGUCCCGCAACGAGCGCAACCCCUGUGAACUGUUGCCACCGGUCGCAAGACCGAGCACUCUGUU